Long non-coding RNA from Dermochelys coriacea (leatherback sea turtle), 3070 nucleotides. RefSeq lists it as uncharacterized. Lineage: Eukaryota; Metazoa; Chordata; Testudines; Dermochelyidae. The record is from RefSeq and is a predicted model, not a curated record. The transcript has 3 exons.
GGAGGUUUUUCACCUUCCUCUGUAACCUGGGGCAUGGGUCACUUGCUGGAGGAUUCUCUGCUCCUUGAAGUCUUUAAACUUUUUUGAGGACUUCAGUAGCUCAGACAUAGGUAAGAGAUUUAUCUCAGGAGUGGGUCGGUGAGAUUCUGUGGCCUGCGUUGUGCAGGAGGUCGGACUAGAUGAUCAUAAUGGUCCGUUCUGACCUUAAUAUCUAUGAAUCUCUGAAUUUACUUAAAGUAAGAUCCCCCUUUUUAAGUUAUUAUUUGCUAAUUCUUUUCAGAAUAUAGACUUUUUGGCCCCUCAGUCCCAAGGUACCUUCUCCAUGCUUCUGGGGCCCGAUAGACCUCCUUCUUGAGGCCUGUGCUGUGAUUCUGCAAGAUUUUGCUCCUUGGUUCAUGGCCCUGACAGCCUUCCUUCUUGCAGUCUCCUUUCUUUGUCUUUCAGGAGGCUUCUCAUUUGUCUCCAGGGACUGAUUUAACUACACGACCUUCCUGUCAGAAUCGGUGGAGUGCAAGCUUUCCCCCAUCAAGCUUCGGCAUUCCAUCUCUUUCCUGGAUGACCUCCUCUGAUGGGGAGGAGGGAGUUCAGUCCUGAUGGCUCAUUCAGUCCCUGGCUUUUCUGCAGAGACUUCUGCCAACAGUUGGUCCAGAGGUGUAAGGAGAGAGAAAUCAUCUACAUAAGUGAACAAAGAAAAUAAGACCUUGGAAAAACAGGAAUGUUUCUUUUUGGGUUCUUUUGUGUGUCUGUUUAAUGGGUUUUAGUUGACCUUCACAUGUCGUUUUGGUCUUUUAGCUAAUCUCAAGUGCACCUUUAAUUUAAAAUCUAAUACAUCUUUUAGGGGACUAAGGGUCUGAUCCAAACCCCAUUAACUUCUAUGGGAUUAUUCACAUGCCUAAAGAUAAAAAUGGGCAAAAGUGCUUUGCUGGAUGGGAAACAGAGCGCUCAGUACUUUGUAGGAUCGAGCCCUUAAGAGGCUCAAUGAUAGUUUACAAUGAUAGUUGAGAACAAGAUGGAACAGGUAGGCGAAACAAACACAUGGAGGUGAGAGAUGAGUCUGGUCAAACUAUUAUAUAAAUAUGAUUUUGUAUAGACUAGCUGUCUGCACAAUUUGUAAGUACAGAGGAUGAAAUUCUGUCCCUUUGUAGUCAACAGGAAUUUUUCCAUUAAGUUCAAAGGGGCCAGGAUUUUGUCUAGGCUUGUUUUGGAUUUGUUAAUGCAGACAAAUAAGCAGACCUGUAGUAAUAAUCUCAGGUUUCCGCCUGUGUAACCAUUAUCAGAAACAUACCAAUAAACUUACUUUAUCUCCUUUCUCUAAUCUAUACAUCAGAUUCUUCAUAUUGAGUCGCAUCAGACAAAGAUGUUCCUUCGCCUUUGGCUCAUCAUUAAAUUUUUCUGUUAAUUUUUCCAGAUGUUUCUCAGUAUUACUAAGGUAAUCAUGAGCACAUUUGCACUAUAAUAUAAAACAAUGACAAAAUUAUAUUCUACUCAAACAAAUUAAAUAUUAAUCACUCACACACAACUCAGUAACCAACUCUAUGCACUGCAGUUCACAUGCUAGACAGAAUAAAGCCCCAAAUCUGCAAAGAUUUACCACGUGUGCUGAACUUUAUGCACAUGAGUGUCAUGUUGGAUUGUAUUAAAGAAGUUCUGUAUUAAACUCACAAAUGAGUUUGAUUCCACAUAGUUUAAAUUCCAGGGUAUUACUAAUUAAGAGGUCUCUUGGUUUUUGGUCUCUUAUUUUUUACUGUUUCUCUCCCUCUCUAUGUGAAACUUGCAAGCCGCUAAUUGUGUUAGUACAUCCUAAGACAGAAUCUGUUCUCAAAGCAAUACUUUGUAACAACUACUACUCAAACAGAGAGAGACUCAAAGCGAUACUUUGUAACAAAAGAAACAGCACACAGAGACUCCCCGCCCUUUUGCUGUAUUUAUCUCGCUUUGUUAACAAUUGUGAUUAAAAUCGAGAUAGAGGAUGUAUGUGGAUGUAUGCUUGGUGUGGAUAAUAAAUGAAUGAUCAGGGAGGUGCCAACCUAGGAGUUCAGUAUUGAUUGGCCGAAGAAUGUGCAGAGUGGAGACAACCAGAUGAUCCCCGGAGGGCAGACUGGAAUCCACCCAACAGCCUCAAGAAUGGGUGAACCAAAGAACAAGAUAACAUCUGGCAGCACGGAGCUGUCAGGAAUGUACCAUCUGCUGAUUGAUUCAGCAACAGCAUGAUGAAGCAAUUCCCAUAGACUGGCAUAGGAAUAAAUUCCUAUAAAAAUGGACUCUAGAAACUGGGAACUUUGGGAUAUGAUUCUGAAAACCAACUUCCAGGAGCAUCAGAUGCUCAUCUGACAAGGUCCUGCUCCCUCCUUGUGUCCAGGCCACCAGGCCAGUGGCUUGGCAUGAGCAACUCUAAGGCUGGUAACUAUGAUAACAACCUUGCAGAACCUGUGUGUGUGUGAAUGAAUGUGUGAAUAAAUAUGAAAUUGAAUGAAAUGUUAUAGCUAUAACUAACUGCUUACUAUGAUUCUUUCUGUAUUCACAAUAAAUGUGGCAUUUUGCCUUAUUCCCUUUAAUAAGAUCCUGCUGGUUUUUAUUUUAUUGGUAUAACAUGAGUAGUUCCAUUAAAUUCAAUGAAACUACUCACAUGCAGAAAGUUAGGCCAAUGAGUAAAUAUUAAAAGGAUCAGGGCUUUUGAGACUCAGUCUUUCUCCUACUGAAGUGAAUGUCAAAACUCUCAUUGAUUUCAGUGGUAAUAGGAUCAGAUUUUUCAUGGCAUUGUUUAACAAUUUACUGUCCUCAACAUUAUUGGCAUUAAAUAUGACCCUGGAAGUCUACAACCAUUCAAUUAAAAUGUAACAGAAUUAAUAAUAAUAGCAAUAAUAAUAAUAAUAAUGGAAAUUUUAAAAUAUAUUUGUAUCUCAGAUGAUAAUUAAACCUUUCAAAUAUAUAAACUGCAUUUAAUCUAUAGUAAUCUAUGUUAAUAUAAUCUUUCUACUAAACUACAGUACAUAUCUGCUGCUGUCACUGAGUUCUCUUCUUUUUAACAGUGUGUUACAGAUAAAUAUCAUAAUUUGCAUUAGGUGGACUU